GGUUGUGGCUCAGUGGUAGAGCGCUUGCCUAGCAUGAGUGAGGCACUGGGUUCAAUCCCAGGCACCA
RNAcentral lists this transfer RNA (67 nucleotides) under Marmota monax (woodchuck). RNAcentral's name for it is "tRNA.Ala". Lineage: Eukaryota; Metazoa; Chordata; Mammalia; Rodentia; Sciuridae. The record is from RNAcentral.